This 277-nucleotide ribosomal RNA is filed under the name uncultured bacterium. RNAcentral describes it as "partial 16S ribosomal RNA". It matches the Rfam family "Bacterial small subunit ribosomal RNA", at positions 28 to 301 of the family's 1533-position model. The record is from RNAcentral.
GAUGAACGCUAGCGGCAGGCCUAAUACAUGCAAGCCGAACGGCAAGGUUUUCAGCAAUGGGAACCCUAGAGUGGCGUAAGGGUGCGUAACACGUAUGCAAUCUACCCUUAACAGGCGGAUAGGUCCCCGAAAGGGGAAUUAAGCCGCCAUAGGAAUUUUGGAUGGCAUCAUUUGAAAUUUAAAACUACGGUGGUUAAGGAUGAGCAUGCGCAUGAUUAGUUAGUUGGCGGGGUAACGGCCCACCAAGACUUUGAUCAUUAGGGGGAACUGAGAGGUU